GAUGAACGCUGGCGGCGUGCCUAAUACAUGCAAGUCGAGCGAACGGACGAGAAGCUUGCUUCUCUGAUGUUAGCGGCGGACGGGUGAGUAACACGUGGAUAACCUACCUAUAAGACUGGGAUAACUUCGGGAAACCGGAGCUAAUACCGGAUGAUAUUUUGAACCGCAUGGUUCAAAAGUGAAAGACGGUCUUGCCGUCACUUAUAGAUGGAUCCGCGCUGCAUUAGCUAGUUGGUAAGGUAACGGCUUACCAAGGCAACGAUGCAUAGCCGACCUGAGAGGGUGAUCGGCCACACUGGAACUGAGACACGGUCCAGACUCCUGCGGGAGGCAGCAGUAGGGAAUCUUCCGCAAUGGGCGAAAGCCUGACGGAGCAACGCCGCGUGAGUGAUGAAGGUCUUCGGAUCGUAAAACUCUGUUAUUAGGGAAGAACAUAUGUGUAAGUAACUGUGCACAUCUUGACGGUACCUAAUCAGAAAGCCACGGCUAACUACGUG
This 497-nucleotide ribosomal RNA is filed under the name uncultured bacterium. RNAcentral describes it as "partial 16S ribosomal RNA". It matches the Rfam family "Bacterial small subunit ribosomal RNA", at positions 28 to 507 of the family's 1533-position model. The record is from RNAcentral.